This 442-nucleotide ribosomal RNA is filed under the name uncultured bacterium. RNAcentral's name for it is "partial 16S ribosomal RNA". It matches the Rfam family "Bacterial small subunit ribosomal RNA", at positions 339 to 795 of the family's 1533-position model. The record is from RNAcentral.
CUACGGGAGGCAGCAGUGGGGAAUUUUCCGCAAUGGGCGCAAGCCUGACGGAGCAACGCCGCGUGGGUGAUGAAGUCUUUCGGGACGUAAAGCCCUUUCAGCUGGGAAGAAGUCAGUGACGGUACCAGCAGAAGAAGCACCGGCUAACUACGUGCCAGCAGCCGCGGUAAGACGUAGGGUGCAAGCGUUGUCCGGAUUUAUUGGGCGUAAAGCGUACGUAGGCGGUCCCUUAAGUCGGGGGUUAAAGACCGGGGCUCAACCCCGGGAAUGCCCUCGAUACUGGGGGACUGGAGGGUGGUAGAGGAAGUCGGAAUUCCCAGUGUAGCGGUGAAAUGCGUAGAUAUUGGGAGGAACACCAGUGGCGAAAGCGGACUUCUGGACCAUUCCUGACGCUGAGGUACGAAAGCCAGGGGAGCAAACGGGAUUAGAUACCCCCGUAGUC